GGAGGCUCUGGUUUGCGUGUUGGGGGCUCUGUGUUGGAGGCUCUGGUGUGUGUGUGUGUGUUGGGGGCUCUGGUUGUGUGUGUGUGUGUGUUGGCGGCUCUGGUGUGUGUCUUGGGAGGCUCUGGUGUGUGUGUGUGUGUGUUGGCGGCUCUGGUGUGUGUGAGUGCUGAGAGCUCUGAUGUGUGUGUGUGUUGGGGGCUCUGGUGUGUAUGUUGGGGGCUCUGGUGUGUGUGUGUUGGGGGCCCUGGUGUGUGUUGGGGGCUGUGGUGUGUGUGUUGGAGGCUGUGGUGUGUGUGUUGGGGGCUCUGGUGUGUGUGUUGGGGACUCUGGUGUGUGUGUGUUGGAGGCUCUGGUGUGUGUGUGUGUUGGGGGCUCUGGUGUCUGUGUUGGAGGCUCUCGUAUGUGUGUUCGGGGCUCUGGUGUGUGUAUUGGGGGGCUCUGGUGUGUAUGUCUUGGAGGCUCUGGUUUGUGUGUUGGGGGGCCCUGGUGUGUGUGUGUGUGUUGGGCGCUCUGGUGUGUGUGUUGGGGGCUCUGGUGUGUGUGUAUGUUGGGGACUCGUGUGUGUGUUGUUGGGAGGCUCUGGUGUGUGUGUGUGUUGGGGGCUCUGGUGUGUGUGUUGGGAGGCUGUCGUGUGUGUGGGGGGGCUCUGGUGUGUGUGUGUGUAUGUUGUGGGGCUCCGGUGUGUGUGUUGGGAGGCUCUGGUGUGUGUGUUGGAGGCUCUGGUGUAUAUCCUGGGGUCUCUGGUGUGUGUGUUGGGGGCUCUGGUGCGUGUGUGUGGGGGGGCUGUGUAUAUUGGGGGCUCUGGUGUGUGUGUGGGGGGCUGUGGUAUGUGUGUUGGAGGCUCUGGUGUAUGUGUCGGGGGGCUCUGUGCGUGUGUACUGGUGACUCUGUUGUGUGUGUGUUGGAGGGCUUUGGUAUGUGUGUUGGGCCCUGUGUGUGUGUGUAUUGCGGGCUCUGGUGUGUUGGGCUCUGGUGUAUAUGUUGGGGUCUCUGUGUUGGGGGGCUCUGGUGUAUAUGUUGGGGUCUCUG
RNAcentral lists this long non-coding RNA (1029 nucleotides) under Pan troglodytes (chimpanzee). RNAcentral describes it as "long non-coding RNA NONPTRT009587". Lineage: Eukaryota; Metazoa; Chordata; Mammalia; Primates; Hominidae. The record is from RNAcentral.